GACGAACGCUGGCGGCGUGCCUAAUACAUGCAAGUCGAGCGAGCUUGCCUAGAUGAAUUUGGUGCUUGCACCAAAUGAAACUAGAUACAAGCGAGCGGCGGACGGGUGAGUAACGCGUAGGUAACCUGCCUCUUAGCGGGGGAUAACUAUUGGAAACGAUAGCUAAUACCGCAUAAAAGUCGAUAUCGCAUGAUAUUGACUUGAAAGGUGCAAUUGCAUCACUAAGAGAUGGACCUGCGUUGUAUUAGCUAGUUGGUGAGGUAACGGCUCACCAAGGCGACGAUACAUAGCCGACCUGAGAGGGUGAUCGGCCACACUGGGACUGAGACACGGCCCAGACUCCUACGGGAGGCAGCAGUAGGGAAUCUUCGGCAAUGGACGGAAGUCUGACCGAGCAACGCCGCGUGAGUGAAGAAGGUUUUCGGAUCGUAAAGCUCUGUUGUAAGAGAAGAACGAGUGUGAGAGUGGAAAGUUCACACUGUGACGGUAACUUACCAGAAAGGGACGGCUAACUACGUGCCAGCAGCCGCGGUAAUA
Molecule: ribosomal RNA, 537 nt
Filed under: uncultured Streptococcus sp.
Lineage: Bacteria; Bacillati; Bacillota; Bacilli; Lactobacillales; Streptococcaceae
Description: bacterial SSU rRNA
Rfam family: Bacterial small subunit ribosomal RNA
Source: RNAcentral